This 228-nucleotide unclassified non-coding RNA is filed under the name uncultured Rozellomycota. RNAcentral's name for it is "uncultured Cryptomycota sequence contains ITS2". The record is from RNAcentral. Lineage: Eukaryota; Fungi; Rozellomycota.
AAUCCUCUCUCCACCAGUUUGGUGGGGACGGACUUGUCGGUUGUGCGACGCAAGUCGUACUCUGAUCAAAAGCAGUAGGUUUGGAUCAGGCUAGUGGCCUGGGACAUUGUGUGCUAGAGACGUCGCUUCGGCUGACUGUCUUCUCACAAUGAGUCCUUGGCCCUUUGAAAGCUAGCCUGGUUGGCGACCUCACCGGUGGUAGUGCUCACGCGCAAUCACAACCCCCCU